AGGGUGGCCAACCAUCCUGGUUUGCCUGGGAUUGAGGGGUUUCCUGGGAUGCAGAACUUUCAGUACUAAAACCACAACAGGC
This 82-nucleotide microRNA precursor is filed under the name Otolemur garnettii (small-eared galago). Its description in RNAcentral is "miRNA (ENSOGAG00000024016.1)". The record is from RNAcentral. Lineage: Eukaryota; Metazoa; Chordata; Mammalia; Primates; Galagidae.